This 253-nucleotide ribosomal RNA is filed under the name uncultured bacterium. RNAcentral's name for it is "partial 16S ribosomal RNA". It matches the Rfam family "Bacterial small subunit ribosomal RNA", at positions 524 to 776 of the family's 1533-position model. RNAcentral also lists the same sequence under 1 other name. The record is from RNAcentral.
UACGUAGGGACCAAGCGUUGUUCGGAUUUACUGGGCGUAAAGGGCGCGUAGGCGGCGCGGUAAGUCACUUGUGAAAUCUCUGAGCUUAACUCAGAACGGCCAAGUGAUACUGCAGUGCUAGAGUGUGGAAGGGGCAAUCGGAAUUCUUGGUGUAGCGGUGAAAUGCGUAGAUAUCAAGAGGAACACUUGAGGUGAAGACGGGUUGCUGGGCCAACACUGACGCUGAGGCGCGAAAGCCAGGGGAGCAAACGGG